Molecule: ribosomal RNA, 1505 nt
Filed under: uncultured bacterium
Lineage: Bacteria
Description: partial 16S ribosomal RNA
Rfam family: Bacterial small subunit ribosomal RNA
Source: RNAcentral
AACGAACGCUGGCGGCGUGGAUAAGACAUGCAAGUCGAACGCGAUUUUCUCGGUUAGCAAUAACUGAGGAGAUUGAGUGGCGAAUGGGUGCGUAACACGUGGGAAUUUAUCCGGAAGUGGGGGAUAGCUCGUCGAAAGGCGAAUUAAUACCGCAUAUGCCUGUAAGGGCAAAGUGGGGGACCGUAAGGCCUCACGCUAUCGGAGGAGCCCGCGCCCUAUCAGCUAGUUGGUGAGGUAAUGGCUCACCAAGGCUUAGACGGGUAGCUGGUCUGAGAGGACGACCAGCCACACUGGAACUGAGACACGGUCCAGACACCUACGGGUGGCAGCAGUCGAGGAUUUUUCUCAAUGGGGGCAACCCUGAAGGAGCGACGCCGCGUGGAGGAUGAAGGGCUUCGGCUCGUAAACUCCUGUCACCGACGAACAAGACAUCCGGAUUAAUAACUCGGAUGUUUGAUGGUAGUCGGAGAGGAAGGGGCGGCUAACUCUGUGCCAGCAGCCGCGGUGAUACAGAGGCCCCAAGCGUUGUUCGGAUUUACUGGGCGUAAAGGGUGUGUAGGGGGUUAGGUUAGUCUGACGUGAAAUACCGUUGCUCAACAACGGAGCUGCGUCGGAUACUGCCUAGCUAGAGGUUCGGAGAUGAGGGCGGAAUUCUCGGUGUAGCGGUGAAAUGCGUAGAUAUCGAGAGGAACGCCGAUGGCGAAAGCAGCCCUCAAGACGAAAUCUGACCCUGAAACACGAAGGCCAGGGGAGCAAACGGGAUUAGAUACCCCGGUAGUCCUGGCAGUAAACGGUGCUCAUUAGAUGUAGGCGGAUUCGACCCCGCCUGUGUCGAACCUAACGGAUUAAAUGAGCCGCCUGGGAAGUACGGUCGCAAGAUUAAAACUCAAAGAAAUUGACGGGGGCUCACACAAGCGGUGGAGCAUGUGGCUUAAUUCGAAGCAACGCGAAGAACCUUAUCCUAGGCUUGACAUGUACGUAUUAACUCCCCGAAAAGGGAGCCACUCCCGCAAGGGCGGAACGUACACAGGUGCUGCAUGGCUGUCGUCAGCUCGUGCUGUGAAGUGUCGGGUUAAGUCCCGCAACGAGCGCAACCCUCAUCUUCAGUUGCCAUCAUUUAGUUGGGCACUCUGGAGAAACCGCCGGUGACAAGCCGGAGGAAGGCGGGGAUGACGUCAAGUCCUCAUGGCCCUUAUGGGCUGGGCUACACACGUGCUACAAUGGUGGUGACAAUGGGCAGCUAAGGCGCGAGCCGGCGCUAAUCCAUAAAAGCCAUCUCAGUUCAGAUUGCACUCUGCAACUCGAGUGCAUGAAGGUGGAAUCGCUAGUAAUCGCAGAUCAGCAUGCUGCGGUGAAUACGUUCCCGGGCCUUGUACACACCGCCCGUCAAACCAUGGGAGUUGGUUUUACCCGAAGCCGGUGCGCUAACCGCAAGGAAGCAGCCGACCACGGUAGGGUCAGCGACUGGGGUUAAGUCGUAACAAGGUAGCCGUAGGGGAACCUGC